This 670-nucleotide long non-coding RNA is filed under the name Zonotrichia albicollis (white-throated sparrow). RNAcentral's name for it is "lncRNA (ENSZALG00000001812.1)". The record is from RNAcentral. Lineage: Eukaryota; Metazoa; Chordata; Aves; Passeriformes; Passerellidae.
AAACCCCAACUUUGGAAGGUUCUCCCCAAUUUUAAAGAGUUUUCCACAAUUUUAAAGACCUAAAAGUCCAACUUUGGAGGGUUCUCCUUGGUUUUAAUGACCAAACCCCAACUUUGGAAGGUUCUCCAUAACUUUGGAAGGUUCUCCAUGACCUUGUUGACCAAACCCCAACUUUGGAAGGUUCUCCCCAACUUUGGAAGGUUCUCCAUGAUUUCAAUGACCACAAACCCCCAAUUUUCAGGGUUCCUCGUCCCAAAAGUCCAACUUUGGUGGGCUCUCCAUGGUUUCCAUGACCAAACCCCAACUUUGGAAGGUUCUCCCCAACUUUGGAAGGUUCUCCAUGAUUUCAAUGACCACAAACCCCCAAUUUUUGGGGUUCCUCACCCCAAAAGUCCAACUUUGGAAGGGUCUCCGUGGUUUCCAUGACCAAACCCCAACUUUGGAAGGUUCUCCCCAAUUUUCAUGACCUAAAAGUCCAACUUUGGAAGGUUCUCAUUGGUUUUAAUGACCAAACCCAACUUUGGAGGGUUCUCCUUGGCCUUGUUGACCAAAACCCAACUUUGGAAAGUUCUCCCCAACUUUGGAAGCUUCUCCCAACUUUGGAAGGUUCUCCACAAUUUUAAUGACCUAAAAGUCCAAAUUUUGAGGGUUUCUCCUUGGUUUUAAUGAC